This 72-nucleotide transfer RNA is filed under the name Camelus bactrianus (Bactrian camel). It matches the Rfam family "tRNA". Rfam says of the family: Transfer RNA (tRNA) molecules are approximately 80 nucleotides in length. Their secondary structure includes four short double-helical elements and three loops (D, anti-codon, and T loops). Further hydrogen bonds mediate the characteristic L-shaped molecular structure. tRNAs have two regions of fundamental functional importance: the anti-codon, which is responsible for specific mRNA codon recognition, and the 3' end, to which the tRNAs corresponding amino acid is attached (by aminoacyl-tRNA synthetases). tRNAs cope with the degeneracy of the genetic code in two manners: having more than one tRNA (with a specific anti-codon) for a particular amino acid; and 'wobble' base-pairing, i.e. permitting non-standard base-pairing at the 3rd anti-codon position. The record is from Rfam by way of RNAcentral. Lineage: Eukaryota; Metazoa; Chordata; Mammalia; Artiodactyla; Camelidae. RNAcentral also lists the same sequence under 2 other names.
GAGGGUAUAGCUCAAGUAGUAAAGUGCAUGUUUAGCAUGCAUGAGUUCCUGGGUUCAAUCCCAGUAUCUCCU